RNAcentral lists this ribosomal RNA (794 nucleotides) under uncultured bacterium. RNAcentral describes it as "bacterial SSU rRNA". It matches the Rfam family "Bacterial small subunit ribosomal RNA", at positions 62 to 862 of the family's 1533-position model. The record is from RNAcentral.
UUCAAGGGGAUCUUUUUGGAAAAGAAACCAGAAAUGAUUUAGUGGCGGAACGGGGGGAGGUAAACACGUGAGAAACCUUCCUUUUCACCAAGGGGAUAGCCUCCGGAAAACGGUGAUUAAUACCUUAUGACAUCACAAUAUCGCAAUGGUAUAGGGAUCAAAGAUUUAUUCGGUGAUAGAUGGUCUUGCGGGUGAUUAGCUAGUUGGUAAGGGUAACUGCUUACCAAGGCAACGAUCAGUAUCCGGCUUGAGAGGGUGAACGGACACACUGGAACUGAGACACGGUCCAGACUCCUACGGGAGGCAGCAGUGGGGAAUAUUGCACAAUGGGCGAAAGCCUGAUGCAGCAACGCCGCGUGAGCGAUGAAGGCCUUCGGGUCGUAAAGCUCUGUCCUCAAGGAAGAUAAUGACGGUACUUGAGGAGGAAGCCCCGGCUAACUACGUGCCAGCAGCCGCGGUAAUACGUAGGGGGCUAGCGUUAUCCGGAAUUACUGGGCGUAAAGGGUGCGUAGGUGGUUUCUUAAGUCAGAGGUGAAAGGCUACGGCUCAACCGUAGUAAGCCUUUGAAACUGGGAAACUUGAGUGCAGGAGAGGAGAGUGGAAUUCCUAGUGUAGCGGUGAAAUGCGUAGAUAUUAGGAGGAACACCAGUUGCGAAGGCGGCUCUCUGGACUGUAACUGACACUGAGGCACGAAAGCGUGGGGAGCAAACAGGAUUAGAUACCCUAGUAGUCCACGCCGUAAACGAUGAAUACUAGGUGUGGAGUAGAACUUCAGUGCCGCAGUUAACGCAAUA